This is a long non-coding RNA of Vidua macroura (Pin-tailed whydah), 688 nucleotides long. RefSeq lists it as uncharacterized. NCBI's taxonomy places the organism in Eukaryota, Metazoa, Chordata, Aves, Passeriformes, Viduidae. The record is from RefSeq and is a predicted model, not a curated record. The transcript has 6 exons.
CCUAAACCAUAACCAGGCACUGGACCCUUAACCACAGACACUGUGGUCUUGGUUAUGUCUGUUGUUACUACUUCUGAUUUUGAACUAGAUGUCAAGGGAACCUGUGUUACUAUCCUGACACCUUCAGAAUCUGCCUGUUUACUUACACCAUCUGCUGGACCUAUAAAACCUGUGGCUGCACUAUCUAGAGUGUUGGCCAUCAUAUCCACAAAGACAGAAUCAUUGUUAAACUUGCAAACAUAUCAUAAAGAUUAUUCUCUUUUGGGAUUGAGAACUGUGAAAACACGCAAAUUUCAACAAUUAAUCUUUGAGGUCUGAAGAGUCAAGAGGUCAAGAAAAAAGUAUUGGAAGCCAUAAAUAUCUUGUGCACUGUCUUUAAUCAACUGGAAAUAGAAGCAAUGCUCCAUUAAACAAAUCUACCCCACAGAAAAUCAUGAUAUUAUUAUAAGAAGUUUGUAAUGGACUUAGAAGUCUGCAAUGGACUAAACAUACUAGUCAUCAAGCAAAAGAUCUGCCCUGCUUGUUACAGAAUGGCCCUUUCUGCAAACAAAAAGAGUGAAGAAACUCUUGAAAGGCUCAGCUCAGAGUUUCAGGUGUCUGAUUCAAAGCCUAAGCUGGUACAGCACAGCUGAGAGUCCUCACUUCAGUUUUAUUGAGAAAAAGGCUGCUGAGAUGGUAUUUUAGAGAA